RNAcentral lists this ribosomal RNA (494 nucleotides) under uncultured bacterium. Its description in RNAcentral is "bacterial SSU rRNA". It matches the Rfam family "Bacterial small subunit ribosomal RNA", at positions 34 to 507 of the family's 1533-position model. The record is from RNAcentral.
CGCUGGCGGCGUGCCUAAUACAUGCAAGUCGAGCGGAAUGAUGAAGAAGCUUGUUUCUUCUGAUUUUAGCGGCGGACGGGUGAGUAACACGUGGGCAACCUACCUUGUAGAUUGGGAUAACUCCGGGAAACCGGGGCUAAUACCGAAUAAUCCAUUUUGCUUCAUGGCGAGAUGUUAAAAGGCGGCUUCGGCUGUCACUAUAAGAUGGGCCCGCGGCGCAUUAGCUAGUUGGUAGGGUAAUGGCCUACCAAGGCGACGAUGCGUAGCCGACCUGAGAGGGUGAUCGGCCACACUGGGACUGAGACACGGCCCAGACUCCUACGGGAGGCAGCAGUAGGGAAUCUUCCACAAUGGACGAAAGUCUGAUGGAGCAACGCCGCGUGAGUGAAGAAGGUUUUCGGAUCGUAAAACUCUGUUGUAAGGGAAGAACACGUACGAGAGUAACUGCUCGUACCUUGACGGUACCUUAUUAGAAAGCCACGGCUAACUACGUG